CCUACGGGAGGCAGCAGUGAGGAAUAUUGGUCAAUGGGCGCGAGACUGAACCAGCCAAGUAGCGUGAGGGAGGAAUGCCCAGAGGAUUGUAAACUUCUUUUAUAAGGGAAUAAAGUCAGGCACGUGUGCCUUGUUGUGUGUACUUUAUGAAUAAGGAUCGGCUAACUCCGUGCCAGCAGCCGCGGUAAUACGGAGGAUGCGAGCGUUAUCCGGAUUUCUUGGGUUUAAAGGGUGCGUAGAUGGUUUGUUAAGUCAGUUGUGAAAGGUUGGGGCUCAACCGUAAAAUUGCAAUUGAAACUGGCAGUCUUGAGUACAGUUGAGGUAGGCGGAAUGCGCGGUGUAGCGGUGAAAUGCUUAGAUAUCACGCAGAACUCCGAUUGCGAAGGCAGCUUACCA
This 396-nucleotide ribosomal RNA is filed under the name uncultured bacterium. RNAcentral describes it as "partial 16S ribosomal RNA". It matches the Rfam family "Bacterial small subunit ribosomal RNA", at positions 338 to 731 of the family's 1533-position model. The record is from RNAcentral.